GCCGAUGUCCGGGCUGAAUCGGACAACCUCUGCUGACCUGCCCUGCUGCUCCCAUGCCUGCCCCCGUGGGCUGGGAGGGCUGCGCUUCUGCUUGGGGCUGCCGUUCACAGCAGUGCCUCAGCACCCUCCUGAACCACGGCCGUGCACCUCUGGUGUUUUGUAUUCCGCUUUAGUUUAUUUGCAAGAAUGUGUGGAGAAGCUUUUUAGGAUGUUUAGGAAUGUCGGCCAGCAUUUUCCAGUCUUUGAAGGCCCCUUUAAAAAACUUAUAAGCUGCUAUCUGGGAAGCAGGUACAGCAUUGAAAGGUCAGACUUGGCCACUGACAGCAUCUGGGACUUGCUGCAUCCUCUGGCUUUGAAGCUUUCUAAGCUUCGUGCAGCCAUCUCCACUGAAAGUCUGCUCAAGGCCCGUGUUUGUGUUAUCAUCGGGCUGAAGUGAUACCAAAAAGAUAUUCAAUAAUAGCUUUGUCUGUGCUGCUGUCGUUAGGAUCCACAGCUGCACUUUAUGUGCACGCUAUGCGCUUGGGUAGAUGUCUCCCCAAAAGACAAUCUUGGUGAAUCAUGAGAUCUUUGGUGGGAAUGAACAGAACGACGCAUUUAUUAAUACGGGGUAACAGAUGGACCAGCUAGUUUAGCAGCUGGGUUUCCAGUCAUUACUCAUGCAGAUCAAAGUGAAGAAUGAUAUAUCUAAAGAAAGCAGUAGGAGUUGACGCCUCCUGAAGCUGAGCUCCAGUUGAGCAAUCCCUUGGAAAUUUCAGAAAGCUCCUUUUAGAAAUCUCCUACCACGACUUGAACAUACCAUGAAGCUGUCACGGACUUCUUGGAAAUCCUGGAAGACCCUGAAAUCUCUUUCUGCACUUGUGCACAAGCAGUUCCAGCCUUGUGCUGCAGUUGAUAUCGUGCAUUAAAUAAUUCCCACAGCUAGCAGGGCAGAGAAACAUCGUACACAGUUUAUUCAAGGUGGUGCAGAACAGAACAGCUGCCCAGGUUCUGCCAGGAUGCAGUAAUGCAAGCACAGCCAGCACACAGAAGGAAAGAGAGAGAAGCGCGAACCGUAAAGAACUGCUGCCUCAGAGCUGCUGUUGCCAUAGAGCUUCUAAUGAGGAAAAAAACUGCAGCAAGGAUUUCUGCUGCUGCUG
Long non-coding RNA from Lagopus leucura (white-tailed ptarmigan), 1136 nucleotides. RefSeq lists it as uncharacterized. The record is from RefSeq and is a predicted model, not a curated record. The transcript is spliced from 3 exons. Lineage: Eukaryota; Metazoa; Chordata; Aves; Galliformes; Phasianidae.